This 631-nucleotide ribosomal RNA is filed under the name uncultured bacterium. Its description in RNAcentral is "bacterial SSU rRNA". It matches the Rfam family "Bacterial small subunit ribosomal RNA", at positions 76 to 717 of the family's 1533-position model. The record is from RNAcentral.
AAGUUUACUUUGGUUUCCGGAAAGCGGCGCAAGGGAGAGUAACGAGUAGUUAUCUACCCCAAGGCCCGGAAUAGCUGCGGGAAACUGCAGGUAAUGCCGGAUAAUAUCCCCGGAUCAAAGGUGUGAUUCCGCCUUGGGAGGAGACUGCUUUGUACUAGCUUGUUGGUAGGGUAAUGGCCUACCAAGGCUACGAUGCAUAGCGGGCGUGAGAGCGUGGCCCGUCUCACUGGGACUGAAACACUGCCCAAACACCUACGGGUGGCUGCAGUCGAGAAUCUUCGGCAAUGGGCGAAAGCCUGACCGAGCAAUGCCGCGUGCGGGAUGAAGGCCCUCGGGUUGUAAACCGCUGUCGUAGGGGAGAAAGGUCUCAUGAAGAAUGAGAUUUGAUCUAUCCUAGGAGGAAGUCCGGGCUAAGUUCGUGCCACCAGCCGCGGUAACACGAACCGGACAAACGUUAUUCGGAAUUAUUGGGCUUAAAGGGUGCGUACGCGGUGCGGUAAGUGAGGUGUGAAAGCCCUCGGCUCAACCGAGGAAUUGCGCUGCAUACUGCCGUGCUAUAGGGAGACAGAGGUAAGCGGAGCUGAUGGUGGAGCGGUGAAAUGCGUUGAUAUCAUCAGGAACACCGGUGGCG